This 976-nucleotide long non-coding RNA is filed under the name Cricetulus griseus (Chinese hamster). RNAcentral describes it as "lncRNA (ENSCGRG00015036976.1)". The record is from RNAcentral. Lineage: Eukaryota; Metazoa; Chordata; Mammalia; Rodentia; Cricetidae.
AGAUUUGCUCUUCUGUUUAUAGUCUCAACAAAGUGAAUCUUAUAAGCAUUCAAACAUUUUAGCAGUAAUCCUUCAGGUGGUUCUGUGACCAAUGCAUUGUCAUCAAUUUCUUCUGAAUUGUCUCUCAGGAAUGUAGUACACCAGAAGAGGGUGCUGGAUCCCAUGGAGCUGGAGUUACAGGUCAUUUCGAGAUGCCUGAACUGAAUUCUGGGUCCUCUUCAAGAGUCGUAUGCAAUUUUAAUCUUUGAGCCAUCUCUCUAGCCCAAAAGUUUGAAUUGCAUUUCAUGCAUUCAUGCAUGCAUGCAUUCAUUGGGUGGGGAGGCACACAACUCACAGGAUUCCAUGGAACUGAAGUUAUUGUCCAAAGAUCAUAGGGUCAGUGACAUUCCAUAAGAAAAUGUCUUCAGUGCCUCAAGACUUUAAAGAGGGUCUGGAUCCAGACAAUAUAGUACCUUCACACAAAGGCAUGAAGAUGGUGAUCAGAAGUUCAAGGUUAUCUUCGGCUACAUAGUGAGUUUGGGGCCAGGACUAUAUGAGAAAAGAAGACAGCUGCAGAUCCCACUACACCAUUUAAGGCACAGAAGAAACAGCAGCUAGUCAGCAAGCCUGCAAUAAAACCUUCUCUCUCUUCAGUUACAUUGAGCAAAAAUAGAAAAGCUAUUGAAACAAAGACUAAAGAAAAUUCAAGACCGUGAGCUUCAAGUGUGACUCCUAUGGAUUUCAGUCUUCCUGAUGCUGGACCUGUUAUUCUUGUACUCCUGUAUAUCCAUGAGAGUUUUCUUCCUGUUCUGUCAAGAUAAUUUUGUGCUGAGGAGGAGGAAGUGGAGUUUUCUGUUUGGGAGCUGAAAGCCUGGAUUCUUACAUAUGUACCUUAACAUUGGUGCUGACUGUGCUAUACAAUUAACAUGUACACAGGCUUCUAUCAUCUGUAUUCCCCCAGAAAACAUCACCAAAUACAAGAAAAUUCUAAAUGUAG